RNAcentral lists this ribosomal RNA (470 nucleotides) under uncultured bacterium. RNAcentral describes it as "bacterial SSU rRNA". It matches the Rfam family "Bacterial small subunit ribosomal RNA", at positions 355 to 825 of the family's 1533-position model. The record is from RNAcentral.
UCGAGAAUCUUCCGCAAUGGGCGAAAGCCUGACGGAGCGACACCGCGUGCAGGACGAAGGCCCUCGGGUUGUAAACUGCUGUCACGCUCUAGGAAUCCCGUGUUGUGAAUAGCAGCACGGUUGACUAAGGCGAGAGGAAGUGGCGGCUAACUCUGUGCCAGCAGCCGCGGUAAGACAGAGGCCACGAACGUUGUUCGGAAUCACUGGGCAUAAAGCGCACGUAGGCGGCUAGGUCCGUCCGAUGUGAAAGCCCCCGGCUCAACCGGGGGAAUAGCAUCGGAUACAGCCUGGCUUGAGGACGGUUGGGGUGAGUGGAACUCCUGGUGGAGCGGUGAAAUGCGUAGAUAUCAGGAGGAACACCGGUGGCGAAAGCGGCGCUCUGGAACGUUUCUGACGCUAAGGCUCGAAAGCGUGGGGAGCAAACAGGAUUAGAUACCCUGGUAGUCCCUGAGCGGGCUGGCAAGGCGCAU